CGUAGGGUGCGAGCGUUAAUCGGAAUUACUGGGCGUAAAGCGUGCGCAGGCGGUUUUGUAAGACAGGCGUGAAAUCCCCGGGCUCAACCUGGGAACUGCGCUUGUGACUGCAAGGCUAGAGUACGGCAGAGGGGGUGGAAUUCCACGUGUAGCAGUGAAAUGCGUAGAGAUGUGGAGGAACACCAAUGGCGAAGGCAGCCCCCUGGGUCGAUACUGACGCUCAUGCACGAAAGCGUGGGUAGCAAACAGGAUUAGAUACCCUGGUAGUCCACGCCCUAAACGAUGUCAACUAGGUGUUGGGUGGGUAAAACCAUUUAGUACCGGAGCUAACGCGUGAAGUUGACCGCCUGGGGAGUACGCCCGCAAGGGUG
This 371-nucleotide ribosomal RNA is filed under the name uncultured organism. RNAcentral's name for it is "bacterial SSU rRNA". It matches the Rfam family "Bacterial small subunit ribosomal RNA", at positions 526 to 896 of the family's 1533-position model. The record is from RNAcentral.